AUUGAACGCUGGCGGCGUGCCUAAUACAUGCAAGUCGAGCGAACAGACGAGGAUCUUGCUCCUCUUCCGUUAGCGGCGGACGAGUGAUUAAUACGUGUAUAACCUACCUAUGAGACUGAGAUACCUUCGGGAACGCGGAUCUAAUACCCGUUAAUAUGUUGAACGUCAUGGUUCAUUGGUGCACGACGUGUUUGCUGUCACUUAUACAUGUUUCCUCGUCGCAUUAGCUAGUUGGUAAGGUAACGGCUUACCAAGGCUACGAUGCGUAGCUGACCUGAGAGGGUGACCGGCCACACUGGAACUGAGACACGGUCCAGACUCCUACGGGAGGCAGCAGUGGGGAAUAUUCGACAAUGGGCGAAAGCCUGACGGAGCCACGCCGCGUGAGUGAAGAAGGUCUUCGGAUCGUAAAGCUCUUUAAGUAGGGAAGAAGAACAGUGAGAGAAAAUAUGGCCGUCUUGACGGUACCAACAGAGAAAGCAACGGCUAACUACGUG
RNAcentral lists this ribosomal RNA (497 nucleotides) under uncultured bacterium. RNAcentral describes it as "partial 16S ribosomal RNA". It matches the Rfam family "Bacterial small subunit ribosomal RNA", at positions 30 to 507 of the family's 1533-position model. The record is from RNAcentral.